CAGCACCUCAAGUGGUCAGGAUGAUUAUUGGGCCUAAAGCAUCCGUAGCCGGCGCUGUAAGUUUUCGGUUAAAUCUGUACGCUCAACGUACAGGCUGCCGGGAAUACUGCAGCGCUAGGGAGUGGGAGAGGUAGACGGUACUCGGUAGGAAGGGGUAAAAUCCUUUGAUCUAUUGAUGACCACCUGUGGCGAAGGCGGUCUACCAGAACACGUCCGACGGUGAGGGAUGAAAGCUGGGGGAGCAAACCGGAUUAGAUACUCGAGUAGUCC
RNAcentral lists this ribosomal RNA (270 nucleotides) under uncultured archaeon. RNAcentral describes it as "partial 16S ribosomal RNA". It matches the Rfam family "Archaeal small subunit ribosomal RNA", at positions 477 to 747 of the family's 1478-position model. The record is from RNAcentral.